AAAAUGACGGGAGGAAUGUAGCUUUGAUCUCGUAUUAAAGUGUUAAGCCUCUGGUAGAUGUGAUGACUAGGAUUGAGGAUUGCAACGAACCCUUCGGGGCCACUGUCUGGUCUCUGUUGGUCGCUCUGGUGCCGAAAGCUCGCUUACGGUCAUCGGAGUUGAUGUCAAAAGGUUAGAACGGGUUGAAUUCGUUAAGGAUGUUGACGUAAUGGCUUUAAACGA
RNAcentral lists this ribosomal RNA (222 nucleotides) under uncultured Glomeromycotina. RNAcentral's name for it is "partial 28S ribosomal RNA". The record is from RNAcentral. Lineage: Eukaryota; Fungi; Glomeromycota.